Molecule: non-coding RNA, 1605 nt
Organism: Heterocephalus glaber (naked mole-rat)
Lineage: Eukaryota; Metazoa; Chordata; Mammalia; Rodentia; Bathyergidae
Source: RefSeq, a predicted model, not a curated record
UCUGCAAAGAAAGCACAGGAUGCGUUUGGAGACUAAAUACGAUGGUGGUUCUCCAAUUAGAGUCUGCAGGAGAAUCGGACCCCGCGGGACGCUCCCGGAGCCCCCGACGCACUGGCCGGGGUCUAGGCGACGCGGGAGGGGCUAAGGCUCAUGGAAGACCCCGCAGCUGAGGGAGGCCGGCAGUGUCCGGGCGGGGAGCGCCGAGGAAAAGCCCUUGGACCACGCACCCGUACAAUGGCCAUCUGCAGAGUCAGUUGUGGAAGAACGCGAAAGGGCCAUCUGUGUGCUGGAGAGCCAAAGGAUCCAGUCAAAAGUCGAAGUCCUGGAGCUCUCUACAGAAUCUGGUGUCAAUCCAUAUUGGAAAGCUGAAAGGUCUGCAUCAGAAGGCUAAAGAGUCUGCGUGGAAGCCUAGACAAAUAUCCAGGCAUGGCAAAGACUAGAGCUGAUCUGAAAAAGCAAAAGGGUAGACUUCCUUCUUCUUUCCCUUUUCGAUUUAAUCCAGGCCUGGUUGCUACAACCCACAUCCAGGGAACUUAGCAUUGGAGAACCUACAGAGAGCAAAAUCAAAGGAAAAUGUCCUCCCUGGAAGUCUAGCAAGUGGUCACAGUCAGACUUGGAAAGGAAGCUUCUUGCACCUCCUUUGUCUUCCAGCACCCCACAACAGUAACUGGUAAAGGAGAAAUGUUUAUAAGGCCCAGCUCCAUUAUCAUAGAACAAGCAAAAAGUACAACUUUGCAGCAGAGGUAAUAAAUCCAUAACUAAGAUGAUGGUCAACAUAUAGUUUUGCCCUUGUUACAUUUCGUACAGACCAGCACCUAACACCACCAACUCUUGGUUCUUGGCACCUAUUCUUCUCUUUUGCCAUUGGAAGCUGCUUCUCUCUUCCUCUUUGUCAUAUACAGUGAAAAAUAUUGCUUGCUAUGGAUCAGGUAGUUGUUGAAUUUUACCUGCAUUAGCUCAGUUAUCAUUAAUUCAGCUGAUUCUCAUCCAUUUCUGUAAGGGAAAUAUUUGCUUGCUUCUUCCUUUUUUCUUUUUCUUUUCUUUUCUUUUUUUUUUUUCCAGCACCAGGGAUAAACCCCAGGGCUUCACACAUGCUAGACAAGCACUCUACCACUGAAAUACAACCCAGCUGCCAAACAGAUUUUAUUCAGAACAAUCACAGUAGGAAAAAAGAGAUCUCAGUAUAGAAUUGGACUAGGUUCUGAAUAUAGCAUGGGCAAUGGAGAAUUUAUAGCCAAGGAAUAGGGUGGUUGGUAUUGAGGAGGGGAGUCAGAAAGGAAAAUUACUAAGAGAAACCAUCAUGAGUAAGAGGGAAUUUGGGCUAAAUCAAUCUAGCAAAGUUCUUACUGAAACUAAGCCUGAAUAAUAAGACAUCAACUACAGGGUGGCAGGACCCAAGGAACCUGAUAUUAUUAAAUUUACCAUUACUGUGUGUCCAGGAGUACAUGUGGCCAGGCGUGGUGGCACAUGCCUGUAAUCUCAGCACUUGGGAGGCUGAGUCGAGAGUUUUGCCAUGAGUUCGAGGCCUGCCUGGACUACAGAGUGAGUUCAAGCCCAGCCUGAACUGCUUAGUGAGACCUUGUCUCAAAAAAAAAAAAAAAAAAA